Molecule: ribosomal RNA, 468 nt
Filed under: uncultured bacterium
Lineage: Bacteria
Description: partial 16S ribosomal RNA
Rfam family: Bacterial small subunit ribosomal RNA
Source: RNAcentral
GACGAACGCUGGCGGCGUGCUUAACACAUGCAAGUCGAACGGAAAGGCCCUGCUUUUGUGGGGUGCUCGAGUGGCGAACGGGUGUGUAACACGUGAGUAACCUGCCCUUUACUUUGGGAUAACUUCAGGAAACUGGGGCUAAUACCUGAUAGGAGCUCCUGCUGCAUGGUGGGGGUUGGAAAUUUUCGGCGUUUGGGGAUGGACUCGCGGCUUAUCAGCUUGUUGGUGGGGUAGUGGCUUACCAAGGCUUUGACGGGUAGCCGGCCUGAGAGGGUGACCGGCGACAAUGGGACUGAGAUACGGCGCAGACUCCUACGGGAGGCAGCAGUGGGGAAUAUUGCACAAUGGGCGGAAGCCUGAUGCAGCAACGCCGCGUGCGGGAUGACGGCCUUCGGGUUGUAAACCGCUUUCGCCUGUGACGAAGCGUGAGUGACGGUAAUGGGUAAAGAAGCACCGGCUAACUACGUG